ACGCUGGCGGCAGGCUUAACACAUGCAAGUCGAACGGUAGCAGGAGAAAGCUUGCUUUCUUGCUGACGAGUGGCGGACGGGUGAGUAAUGCCUGGGAAUCUGGCUUAUGGAGGGGGAUAACGACGGGAAACUGUCGCUAAUACCGCGUAGUGUCGAGAGACGAAAGUGCGGGACUGAGAGGCCGCAUGCCAUAGGAUGAGCCCAAGUGGGAUUAGGUAGUUGGUGGGGUAAAGGUCUACCAAGCCUGCGAUCUCUAGCUGGUCUGAGAGGAUGACCAGCCACACUGGAACUGAGACACGGUCCAGACUCCUACGGGAGGCAGCAGUGGGGAAUAUUGCGCAAUGGGGGGAACCCUGACGCAGCCAUGCCGCGUGAAUGAAGAAGGCCUUCGGGUUGUAAAGUUCUUUCGGUAUUGAGGAAGGUUGAUGUGUUAAUAGCACAUCAAAUUGACGUUAAAUACAGAAGAAGCACCGGCUAACUCCGUGCCAGCAGCCGCGGUAAUACGGAGGGUGCGAGCGUUAAUCGGAAUAACUGGGCGUAAAGGGCACGCAGGCGGUUAUUUAAGUGAG
Molecule: ribosomal RNA, 569 nt
Filed under: uncultured bacterium
Lineage: Bacteria
Description: bacterial SSU rRNA
Rfam family: Bacterial small subunit ribosomal RNA
Source: RNAcentral